CCUACGGGUGGCAGCAGUGGGGAAUUUUGGACAAUGGGCGCAAGCCUGAUCCAGCCAUUCCGCGUGAGUGAAGAAGGCCUUCGGGUUGUAAAGCUCUUUCGGCCGGGACGAAAUCGUAUGGGCUAAUACCCUGUAUGGAUGACGGUACUGGAAGAAGAAGCACCGGCUAACUACGUGCCAGCAGCCGCGGUAAUACGUAGGGUGCGUGCGUUAAUUGGAAUUACUGCGGGCGGAGGGUGAAGACGCGGUUGAAAUCCCCGGGCUUAACCUGGGAACUGCGGUUGUGACUGCAAGACUUGAGUGCGGCAGAGGGGGGUGGAAUUCCACGUGUAGCAGUGAAAUGCGUAGAGAUGUGGAGGAACACCGAUGGCGAAGGCAGCCCCCUGGGUCGACACUGACGCUCAUGCACGAAAGCGUGGGGAGCAAACAGGAUUAGAUACCCUUGUAGUC
RNAcentral lists this ribosomal RNA (450 nucleotides) under uncultured bacterium. RNAcentral describes it as "partial 16S ribosomal RNA". It matches the Rfam family "Bacterial small subunit ribosomal RNA", at positions 338 to 795 of the family's 1533-position model. The record is from RNAcentral.